Cinara cedri is the source of this 482-nucleotide non-coding RNA. Lineage: Eukaryota; Metazoa; Arthropoda; Insecta; Hemiptera; Aphididae. The record is from the annotation of a GenBank genome assembly.
AUAUUAUAUUUUACCAUAUAUAAGAUACAAUUCAUUAUAUAUUAGUCCGUAGUUUAUUAGGAUUGGGGAUCAAUUCUCUAAAAAUAAUGAGGCCAAACAGCGAUAAUGAUAAAUGAUAACAGUAAGCAUAAUUUCUUUACCUAUUCAAAUCUUUCGAGUGCGGGGGACGUCUCACUACGCCCGCCUGUUUCGCACUCCAACUUAUGUGCCAACUAACUGUGCGUUCCUCUUCGUCCUGUAUGAUGGGUAGCAAGGAUAACUUCUUGUCCAAAUUUUCAAUCCGAUAUUAAUGCGAGAAUGAUAAACCUCGAUUUCAUCUUGUGUGCAGUUAAUAUGUAUAUGUUAAUGUGUGACCGGACAGCGUUGCCGAAAACAGUUUUUGUGUUUGAAACUGUGUAGCGGAACAAUUAUUUUUUUUAAUUCGAUUAAAUACGACAGUCAUUAGAUUUGUUUAAUAUAUUUCAUAGAUAAUUAUUAAUUAA